GACGACCGGCGCACGGGUGCGUAACGCGUAUACAAUCUACCUUUUACUGAGGGAUAGCCUUUGGAAACGAAGAUUAAUACUUCAUAGUAUGUUGACUUCGCAUGGAGUCGACAUUAAAGAUUACGGUAAAAGAUGAGUAUGCGUCCUAUUAGCUAGAUGGUAAGGUAACGGCUUACCAUGGCAACGAUAGGUAGGGGCCCUGAGAGGGGGAUCCCCCACACUGGUACUGAGACACGGACCAGACUCCUACGGGAGGCAGCAGUGAGGAAUAUUGGACAAUGGAGGCAACUCUGAUCCAGCCAUGCCGCGUGCAGGAAGACUGCCCUAUGGGUUGUAAACUGCUUUUAUACAGGAAGAAACACCUCUACGUGUAGAGGCUUGACGGUACUGUAAGAAUAAGGAUCGGCUAACUCCGUGCCAGCAGCCGCGGUAAUACGGAGGAUCCAAGCGUUAUCCGGAAUCAUUGGGUUUAAAGGGUCCGUAGGUGGAUAAUUAAGUCAGAGGUGAAAUCCUGCAGCUCAACUGUAGAAUUGCCUUUGAUACUGGUUGUCUUGAGUUAUUAUGAAGUAGUUAGAAUAUGUAGUGUAGCGGUGAAAUGCAUAGAUAUUACAUAGAAUACCAAUUGCGAAGGCAGAUUACUAAUAAUAUACUGACACUG
RNAcentral lists this ribosomal RNA (658 nucleotides) under uncultured Bacteroidota bacterium. RNAcentral's name for it is "bacterial SSU rRNA". It matches the Rfam family "Bacterial small subunit ribosomal RNA", at positions 90 to 748 of the family's 1533-position model. Lineage: Bacteria; Pseudomonadati; Bacteroidota. The record is from RNAcentral.